AGCGGUGUAGUCCAGCAAGCUCCAACCUUCAUCCAUCCGAGAAGAGCAGCUUGGGCUUCACGGUCACAUGUCUCAGCAUCUUCAUUCCAUGAGAUGAUCCAGAAGCUCUAGCACGUAAGAAAAAAACACGUAGCCUUAGUCCAACUUCCAUCCUCACUGUGCAACCUGCAGCAGAAUGAAGGUGCACACAACCCAACUCUCUCCACGCGGACAACAACACUCUCGGCCCAGCUUCAGCUAACACCACCAACACGGUCUGAUGAGAAAAAU
Molecule: long non-coding RNA, 270 nt
Filed under: Vigna radiata
Lineage: Eukaryota; Viridiplantae; Streptophyta; Magnoliopsida; Fabales; Fabaceae
Description: long non-coding RNA (VRAD_LNC014118)
Source: RNAcentral